Molecule: transfer RNA, 72 nt
Filed under: Ovis aries (sheep)
Lineage: Eukaryota; Metazoa; Chordata; Mammalia; Artiodactyla; Bovidae
Rfam family: tRNA
About the family: Transfer RNA (tRNA) molecules are approximately 80 nucleotides in length. Their secondary structure includes four short double-helical elements and three loops (D, anti-codon, and T loops).
Source: Rfam by way of RNAcentral
UCCCUGGUGGCUCAGAUGGUAAAGAAUCUGCCUACAGUGCAGGAGACCUGGGUUCAAUCUCCAGUUUGGGAA